AGAACGAACGCUGGCGGCGUGCUUAACACAUGCAAGUCGAGUGCGCGCCUGUAGCAAUACAGGUGGCGCACGGCGCACGGGUGCGUAACACGUGGGUAAUCUGCCAUCUGAUGGGGAAUAACUCGCCGAAAGGCGAGCUAAUUCCGCAUAAUAUUCCGGGAACUUAUGUUUCUGGACUGAAAGGCGCAAGUCGCCAGAAGAGGGAUCCGCGGCCGAUUAGCUAGUUGGCGAGGUAAUGGCUCACCAAGGCUUUGAUCGGUAUCCGGACUGAGAGGUUGGCCGGACACACUGGAACUGAGACACGGUCCAGACUCCUACGGGAGGCAGCAGUGGGGAAUCUUGCACAAUGGGCGAAAGCCUGAUGCAGCAACGCCGCGUGGGGGAUGGAAGCUUCUCGGAGUGUAACCCCUUUCGACCUGGACGAAUGCCCGCAAGGGUUUGACGGUACAGGUAUAAGAGCCCGGCUACUACGUGCCAGCAGCCG
Molecule: ribosomal RNA, 484 nt
Filed under: uncultured bacterium
Lineage: Bacteria
Description: SSU rRNA
Rfam family: Bacterial small subunit ribosomal RNA
Source: RNAcentral